AGGGCAAAAAAUUUAGUAUACCUAGAACCGCCUUGGUGACCUCUAUUCAUCAUUAAAGUAUUUCCGUUUCCCAAUGAAACACCCUGUAUAAAGCUUUUUAAUGACUACUUAAAUGCGCUAUCAGCUGAAUUGUUUAAACUACUUCAGGAAAAUACCAAUAUUAGAAGUAAUUAUAAAAAAUUGACAGAAUGUAUUUUGGCUAAGACGGUGAUUUUUAACCGUAAAAGAGUAGGGGACGUGCAGUAUUUAACAGUAGAAACCUACGGGAGGAACUACGAUACACUUAAUCAAGAAAGUUUUACAGAGGCACUCACUUAAGUUGAAAAGAUUAUAUAUAAAAAUCAUAGGCGUUUUGUAACUGGAGGUAAAGGCUCAAAACCUGUUCCAAUUUUAUUUUCAUUCCAGACGCAAAAAUACAUUAGCCUUUUACUAAAAGUCAGACAAGAAACCAAUGUUGUACCAGAAAACAAUCCAUAUCUUUUUGCAAAUCCUGAUUCCGAAGAUCGCUGGAUGUCUGGCGCAAACACAAUUAGAAAGAUAGCUAUUAAUUGUGGAGCCAAACAUCCAGAACUAUUGACAUCAACUAGAUUUAGGAAACAAAUUGCCACGACUCUGCAAUUAUUAGCCCUCGAUGAUGACGAAAUGGAACAAAUCGCCACUUUUAUGGGACAUACAAAGAAGACACAUACCGAGUUUAACAGACUACCGCAAGAUAUCUACCAGACUGCUAAAGUAGCCAAGAUUCUUUUACUUAUGGAAAAAGGCAAGGGAAAUCGGUACCGAGGAAAAAAAUUAAGUGAAAUCAAUAUAGAUGAUAACGAAUACUAUAGCUCUGAAUACGAAGGCGAUGAAGAACCGAUUAUGCAGAAGGUGCUAAAGCGGGUUACAAGGGGAAAAAACCUGAAGACGAAUUAGAUACUGGAGAUUCUGACAGAUAUGUGCAUCAGUCAACGGAACGUGAUCAACAUAAUGAAAACACAUUAUCAAGAAAUUAUUUUAAAAAGGCGACUAAGCCGUUUCACGAAUCUAACGAAGCAAAUAGUGAAGAACCACCAACAAAAAAAACUAAAGAAUCAUCCACGAAAUCCAUCCAGAGAUUCAGAGCCAAAUGGUCAGAUAAUGAAAAACAAGUUUUACUUCAGUACUUUGAAAAACAUAUUGAAACAAAAAUUACCCCUCGGAAACAUGAAUGUGACGAACUACUGAAACUACAUCCACACGUGUUCGAAAAUAAGGACUGGGUCCGAAUAAAAACAUAUGUGUAUAAUACAUUCCGUGAAAGGAAGUGAUUACUUAUUUUUAUUUUUACUGAACCACAUAGAUUAUUUUUAGUUCCAAUAAAUUACUUUUAAAUAA
This 1356-nucleotide unclassified non-coding RNA is filed under the name Diabrotica virgifera virgifera (western corn rootworm). RNAcentral describes it as "uncharacterized LOC126884926". The record is from RNAcentral. Lineage: Eukaryota; Metazoa; Arthropoda; Insecta; Coleoptera; Chrysomelidae.